Molecule: long non-coding RNA, 1676 nt
Filed under: Homo sapiens (human)
Lineage: Eukaryota; Metazoa; Chordata; Mammalia; Primates; Hominidae
Description: HSALNT0227261
Source: RNAcentral
UGAGGCUACAGCAGACUCCUCCUAUCUCAUAGAAAAGAGGCCUCAGCUUCCCAGCCUCCAGCAAAGGGAAUUUUCUAGGUCCCAGUCCCCCUGCUUUGAUUUUAACCCUCUCUGUGUCUCUCUCCUCUGACUUCUACUUCCUUGCUCUCCAUCUAAUUCCCCCUCCUCCUCGAGCUCUUUGAAGUUGAGGGAGUCUAUACUGCCAGGCACUAUCCUUGCUCUUCUAAUUUCUUAAUUCAUUUCACCUUCCUCCUAGCCCCAUGGGGCAGGCAUUGUUAUUAUCAUCCCCAUGUUGUGUGUAAGGAAAUGGGUCAUGCAGGAGUUAAAAACCUGCCUAACUUUCACGCAGCUAGUAAGUGGCAGAACUGCAAAUUGAACAGCCAGUCCCUGCUCCACAGAGAUAUGCAAUGCUACCUCUUGAGCUAAAACAGAAAUUCAGACCCCACUUUGUAGACACAAUGGCUCAGAUUUAGGAGACGACCCUGCAGCCAAACCUAGACAAACAUGAGGUGGUUCUGCUGUCCUGAGCUUGCUGCUCACCGUCUCUGCCCACAUGGCUCUAGCUGGGCUCAGGACUUUCCUCUUCACAGCAGGCUGAACAGCAAACCCAGAGGCCAUUGCAGCUGCCUCGGUAUUCUACACCCCCCUUGGGUCUGGAAGUUGUUGGAGGCAGGCAUACCAGACUGUUUAUAAUAUGGAUGCUUUCUCCUUCACCUAGCUGGAGCCAAGAGGGGUGGGGGAAGACUGAGAGAGACAGAGACAGGGAGAGAGAGAGAGCCUGCCUAACUGCCUAUUUAUCCCAAAUCCAUAUAUUAUUUUGGAACAUUCAGUAUUGCAGAAAUACAUGGAGGGAUAAAUCAUUUCUUCUGCCAUCUGGUCUCGGAGAACCUUCCCAAGAACUGUAGCUUCGUUUAAUUUUGCUGCGUUCCUUUCCCACCCUCUUUGUGCUUUCCAUCAUCUUUUCUUGGCUGUAUUUUUGGGUUUGUUUUGCUUCAGUUUCUUGCUCUUUUAGCUGUUUCUGGAUUUCAAUUUUUAAAAAGAAAUAACGGAUCGCACUUAUCCAAGUCGUGCCAGAUUCUUUAUUUGGGAUAAUGCUACCUCAUGGCUAUUUUUUAACUUUAAUCCGGAACCUUGGAGUGACGUGUGGAUUUUUUUUUAAUGCCCCAACCAGAUGCACUAAGCAGCUUGAUGGUCAGUAAUGAGGCAGCACCAGGACCCUGUGGUCCUAGAGUUUCUUGGCAGUGCCUUCAUGGCAAAUGUUUCAGUGAGAUGAGCGUGGCAGACCCAGCCCAGCCAUUGCUCUAUGGUUCCAAAGUCCUUUUAAAUGAACAAAUGGGUUGGCAUUCAUCUAGUGGGACUGCAACUCCAGUGAGGUUACUCAAAACAUACUGGGCAAAGGUUUCUCACUGUUUGAGUGGGAGGUUACAAGGGAAGAAGUCUAGAGCGAUCCAUGGCAUGAUGGAUGGGGGUUGGCAUCAGAAUGAAUCAUGUUUAGCUUAAUUGGGACACAGAUGGUUAAGUAUAGAAAUACCUACAGACAUACAUACAUCCCUGGGUUACUGUACACAUAGAUCUUCUUGUUCCGUCAGUUUAGAGGUCCUGGAAGCCACAACCCCCCAGCAGCAAUGAGCAUGCCUACUACCCAGAUCUCAGUUUCUAAUACCAUUCUCCAAAAA